This 422-nucleotide ribosomal RNA is filed under the name uncultured archaeon. RNAcentral describes it as "partial 16S ribosomal RNA". It matches the Rfam family "Archaeal small subunit ribosomal RNA", at positions 323 to 746 of the family's 1478-position model. The record is from RNAcentral.
CUACGGGCGGCAGCAGGCGCGAGACCUCCGCAAUGCGCGCAAGCGUGACGGGGGGAUUCUGAGUGCUCAAGGUUUCCUUGGGCUUUUUGCAAGAGUAAAAAUCUUGUAGAAUAAGUGGUGGGCAAGACUGGUGCCAGCCGCCGCGGUAACCCCAGCGCCACAAGUGGGAACCAUAUUUAUUGGGUCUAAAGCAUCCGUAGCCGGUUCAGCAAAUUUCCUGUGAAAUCGUCUCGCUUAACGGGAUGGCGAGCAGGAAAGACUACUGGACUUGGGACCAGGAGAGGUCAACAGUAUUCCUAGGGGAGCGGUAAAAUGCUAUAAUCCUGGGAGGACUACCUAUGGCGAAGGCAGUUGACCAGAAUGGAUCUGACGGUGAGGGAUGAAAGCUAGGGGAGCAAAACGGAUUAGAUACCCUCGUAGUC